Molecule: unclassified non-coding RNA, 445 nt
Filed under: Hevea brasiliensis (rubber tree)
Lineage: Eukaryota; Viridiplantae; Streptophyta; Magnoliopsida; Malpighiales; Euphorbiaceae
Source: RNAcentral
AUCCAAGAUUUUGAUAAUUUUCUUCAAUAGAUUAACAUUAUAACAACUACAGCUGAAUUUUGGUUGUUCUCAAGUCCAGAGCUUGACAACAUCCGCUUUGGACUCUGAGAUUUCCCCAGGUGAAGUCUGUGUUGUGGCGCUGGGCUUGAUAUAUACUCCAAUCGACCGGAGCGCUCUCGAAUUGUACAUUCCAUGAAACCCGCCAAAUUGCUUAUUCUCUCCCAUGUUAAAGUUGAACUCAAAUAACUCUAAUCCAUGUCUAGCAUUAUUCCCACCAUAUGGCCCAUAAGUCCCUUUGUUGGUAGUAAAUGUUAUUGACCUGAGAUGAUCAUAGGUGUAUUUACCACUCACCCUUGUGAGGAACUCUGAUGGGUAAUUAAAUUGAACAGUGUAAAGAGUGGGGCCAUGACCAUCAUAUGCGCCAUAUGGAGGAGAAAGCACCAAA